Symphalangus syndactylus (siamang) is the source of this 4174-nucleotide long non-coding RNA. RefSeq lists it as uncharacterized. Lineage: Eukaryota; Metazoa; Chordata; Mammalia; Primates; Hylobatidae. The record is from RefSeq and is a predicted model, not a curated record.
CAGAGUGGUGAGGUCAGGAGGUCCCCAACCCAUGGCCCAGGUCCAAACCCUGGCUCUCUCCGACUAGUUCUGUGACCUUUAUGGGCCUCUGUACAAUAGUGCUUGUGUCAUUGGGCACUCACUACAGUGGUUGGUGCAAGUAAGUGUGGUUAGUGUAUCACCAUUGAUGUUAUCCCACCACUGGCCUGGCGGGUCAGGCCCCUUCCCUGGAACUUGGCCCCAUGUGCCAGUGGGGAUGGGGGGCUUGUGGUCCUAGGGUCCCUCUGGCUUUGUAAUGUUAGGUAGCUAGAGUUCUCAUCUCCUGAUCCCAUGGCCCCUGCCAUGGGUGUCCUCGGUGGUGAGAAGGGAUUGGGCCCCUCCCCACCCGAGAAGGCAAGCACUCUAAGGCUAUCUCUUCUGCUGUCACUAAGGCCACCUCUGGGGAGAGCACAGGCUUGAGGGUGGGUGUUUGUGAUUGCCCCGAAUCCCGGAAGUCCAGCCCACUGAAUAAGCGAGGGCAUGGUGAGUCACACUGGUCCUGUCACCCCAGUGCCCUGUCAUUAACCUCAUUUCCGAAAUGAUUUGCUUGAGAUGGGCCCCUGAUGGCUCCAAAUUUAAUUGGUGUGUGGUCAUUUAAGGGGUAGCAGAAUCUCCCUAGAGAACCCUUGGGGGUUCUCUCCUUACCACCCCUGCUCUGCCCGCCCAGGCUGCUGAGGAAACCACAUGGCUAAGGCAGCGGUGGCAGGCCAGGCGGUCCUGGUUCCCUGGGGCAUGGCUCCACUUUCUGUGAGCAUUGCCGUCCUGGAACAGGGCCUCUUCCUGCUGCCUGGUAGGCUCAGCCUGCCCCAGCCAGGCCGCCCUGGCACCCUGGGUUCCCUCGCUCGGCCACUGUGGGGGGUGCCUCCCUAGAAGAUUCACCCUGCCUCCGUGACCCAUGGGGCCCCCACGGCCAUGCCCAAGACAAGGCUGAAGCCAGCCCAUAGAGCCUGCAGGAAAGUCAUUAGGAAGUGCAUCCUGUGCCAACCCCUCCUCCUGCCAGGAGCUACCCGUGUGGAAACACUCUCCCAAGAACCUAUUUAUAGAGCAAGGCCAGUAGUUGUUUUCACUUUAGGUGAGGCCAUCUAGAGCCCUGUCCGCCUGGAGUGCUGCUUGUGGCAGACACUUCUGCCCCUGCCCGCUCUCUCCUGCCACCCAUGAGAAAUCGGAACGCUGGUACAAGGAACACUGGCAGGAGAGGAAGUGAUGUCUUCCUACGGCUUCCUUUUCUCAGCCCUAAGCUUCUCUUUUAGGCACCAGCGUGUGUUCCUGAAAGUGGGACUUUGGCAUCUUUUUGUGGGUACCCAGUGGGCAGAGGCCUGGCCUGCAGAAGCCAAGGCCCAUGCUGAGCAGUGUCACUCAGCCACACAUACUGACGCCAGCCCUUGUCCAUCUCCAUGCUUCCCAGCUUGGCAUCUGGACUCAACUUUGAAGUCAGGACUGACUUCAGAGCCAUGAGCGGCCGGAGCACCUGGGCCCACAUUUAUCCAGCCCAUGUUGUCGUCUUGGUCUCCAGCCUGGCUGAGGCCAUAUGUGCUCUGCAGAUGCCCUACCCACCUGGUAUCUUCUUCCAGACCUCCGCCCUCCCUGGCUAGGCUUGGGCAGGGUCCUUGCCUUGACCUGGAAGGUCUCUCUAGAACCAUCCAGCUCCCUCAGAGGUUCCCAUGGUGCCCACGCCACCUCUGCACUGGGCCCCUCAAACUCUGACUCCAGCCACAGCCACCCCAAAGGCAUGUCCUCGUGCCCAAGGUUGGAAUGGGAGUGCUGGCCAUGCUCUCUAGGGCCAUCACAUCCACCCUCUCCACCCCAGCUCAGGUCCCAGAACCUCCCUCCUAAGACAACUUGCUCCUGGAUUUGUUCCUCAGAAGCCUCUGAAACUUGAAGCAAGAGAAGCAACGUAAUUAGUGCUCCCUGGCCUUCCAGGCAGCAGCACUCAUGCACCUGCUAACUGGAAACAGAAGGUACUUUCUGUCGCAGAGGCCAGCAAUGGCCCAUAUCUAGGCUGCUGCCCUGAGCCGCCUUGGCUGAAACCGUGAAGCUGACCUGUGCUCCCAGGGCUGCCCCUGCUUCUUGGGGUUGGGUCCAGCUCCCCAGGUAAUUACAGUGUGUCCAGGAAUAGGGCCACUGUGAAGCCCCACCGUGGCCCUUUGAGAGGUAUCCCGAAAUCUCCUGUUGGGGAUAAAUGCCUCUGGUUUAGGGGAGUCUUAGUUCCGUGGUCCCCUCUGGUGGGGAAUGGAAGCCUCAGGCUGGGGCGGGUCAGGUGAGCAUACCUCCAGCCGCCCCAGCUUCAGGCCUCCCCACCUCUUAGGCCAUCUGGAGCGAGACCCUCAAGGAGCCAAGACCUGCUGAGAUGUUGCCUGCUCACUUCCUACCUGGUCUCCCACUUCUGCCCCCAGCCCACCCCAUCUGUUCUCAACACAGCCAGAGUCUGCUGAGAUGCAAGAGUAAAAACCACACCUGCCUUCUCACUGUUCCUUGGACACACCAGGCACAUUCCAGCCCCAGGGCCUUUGCACCUGCUGUUCCUGCUGCUGGGAAUACUCUGACUUCACCUCUCUGUGCCUCGGCCUCCUCAUCCAUAACAUGGGGUAAGAGCAAAAGUGACCCCAUAAGACUGCUGGGAAGACUUGCCGAGACAAUUCACACAAAGCGCUAAGAGCUGGCACUGUCCCUGCUGGACUGCAAUCGGUGGCCCAGGGAGAUGGGUGGGAAUGGGAGCUGAUUACCAGCUGGCUACAAGGCCCACUCCAGGCUCAGCCUCAGCUGCUCGGCUGGGCCAACCUGGGGCUCAACCAGUGCUCCUGGGAGUGGGAGCCAUUGUGCCCUGUAAGGCCCUUGGACUUUGCUCAGUAACUGCCAUGGGUCUUGCUCACUGGACACCCCACCCCACGUGCCCGCGUGACUCCUGCACAGCCUUUUCCUAUUGAGGCUUCCAACCACCAGGCCAAGCCAGGUGCCUCACCCAGCCCUACAGGACAGGGUGCGAGAGUGGGGCCGCCUCUCUGCCGGUUGCUGGCUGAGAGAGGCAGAGGUGGUGUCAGGGCAGGAGGGAUCAGUGGCCUCGAGGCACCAUGGCCUCUCGGGUAGGGUGCAGGUGGCUGGGCUGGAUUCAAAUGUGCAUCUCACUGUUGGCUGGCCGAUGAGAUGUGGGGUGGCUUUCUCAUGCCCCCACAGACCCUCCCACCCACCUGGUUCUAUCCUGCCCCAGCUAGUGGCUCUGAACCCCAGCCAAGCAGAGCAAGGGAUUUGGGCUUUUUCUGUCUGAAGGAGAGGAGUAGGCCUCUAAGGGGCCUCUCCCACCACUCCCACAGCAGACCACUGGCCUGGGGGCCUCCUGCAGGGGCCUGUGUGCCUGGCAGCCAACCUUGCUGGGGAUGAGCACCAGAACGCCUGGGGAUAACGUCUUCUCCUCCCACCUCCUGCUCCCCUCCUCCCUCUCCCUUCCUCCUCCCUUUCUUCCUCCUCCUCCACAAACACAUGUUUCCAAUUCCCUCUCAGGCCCCCUCUCCCUUCCCCAGCCCCUUCCCAUUUCCUCUCUGAGGCAUCCACUAGCAUGUGGAACUCAUUAGGAGACCCUCAGGGCUCGUAACCCAACUCUGGCCCGGGCUUGGGGAGGGGGCCCUGUCCGCAGCCCCCAUGCUGAGCCACAGAGGCUUCCCCACGUCUGGCCCCUGUCUGGCCCUGUGCAGUCACAGGCUGGAAAGCACAAGGAGCCAGCCGGUGCCAGUGGAGGAAGCAUGGCCUGGCGGCCAGCUCAUCUCACUCCUCUCCUCUCCAGCCGCAUCCUGGCGCCUGGUGAGACAUCUUAGCCCCAGCAGCUGGGCCAGGGUGGUUUCUGAUCCCACCGGGGCAGCUGGACCUGUGUGUGAAAAGCAGAUCCCAGGGCCACUUGAGCAGGCCCAAGGGUAUGGAGUUCUGAGUGACGAACUCGAUGGCCCUCAGCUUCCCAUCUGAAAAACGGGAACGGAAGUCCAGGGAAGAGAAUAUGGUACGUAGAACAGCCACCAGGCAACAGAGUUCCACAUCCUCCCUAGAGGACACAGCGAAGGCCCGGUUCCAUGGGCUGUUAGCGGAGGUUAUGCAAAACAAACUGGUGCUAUGGUCACCAGGAUUUGGGAAAUGCCAGGAUGAACAAAGUAAAGACAACUACUUCCCUGAA